RNAcentral lists this ribosomal RNA (275 nucleotides) under uncultured bacterium. RNAcentral describes it as "partial 16S ribosomal RNA". It matches the Rfam family "Bacterial small subunit ribosomal RNA", at positions 333 to 625 of the family's 1533-position model. The record is from RNAcentral.
UCAUGCCUACGGGGGGCAGCAGUGGGGAAUAUUGCGCAAUGGGGGCAACCCUGACGCAGCAACGCCGCGUGCGGGAUGAAGGCUUUCGGGUUGUAAACCGCUUUCAGCAGGGAUGACAUCGACAGUACCUGCAGAAGAAGCCCCGGCUAACUACGUGCCAGCAGCCGCGGUAAUACGUAGGGGGCGAGCGUUAUCCGGAUUCAUUGGGCGUAAAGCGCGCGCAGGCGGGCUUGCAAGCGGGGCCUUUAAUCUUGGGGCUUAACCUCAAUACGGGU